RNAcentral lists this ribosomal RNA (513 nucleotides) under uncultured bacterium. RNAcentral's name for it is "bacterial SSU rRNA". It matches the Rfam family "Bacterial small subunit ribosomal RNA", at positions 335 to 839 of the family's 1533-position model. The record is from RNAcentral.
ACUCCUACGGGAGGCAGCAGUGGGGAAUAUUGGACAAUGGGCGCAAGCCUGAUCCAGCAAUGCCGCGUGUGUGAAGAAGGCCUGCGGGUUGUAAAGCACUUUUGUUCGGGAAGAAAGCUUGCUGAUUAAUACCUAGCAAGGAUGACGGUACCGAAAGAAUAAGCACCGGCUAACUUCGUGCCAGCAGCCGCGGUAAUACGAAGGGUGCAAGCGUUAAUCGGAAUUACUGGGCGUAAAGGGAGCGUAGGCGGCUUUUUAAGUCGGAUGUGAAAUCCCCGGGCUUAACCUGGGAAUGGCAUCCGAUACUGGGGAGCUAGAGUUUGGGAGAGGGUGAUGGAAUUCCCGGUGUAGCGGUGAAAUGCGUAGAGAUCGGGAGGAACAUCAGUGGCGAAGGCGGUCACCUGGCCUAUAACUGACGCUGAAGCUCGAAAGCGUGGGGAGCAAACAGGAUUAGAUACCCUGGUAGUCCACGCCCUAAACGAUGAGAACUGGACGUUGGGAGGAAUUUGCCUC